AUCUUCCGCAAUGGACGAAAGUCUGACGGAGCAACGCCGCGUGAGUGAUGAAGGUUUUCGGAUCGUAAAACUCUGUUGUCGGGGAAGAACAAGUAUCGGAGUAACUGCCGGUACCUUGACGGUACCUUACGAGAAAGCCACGGCUAACUACGUGCCAGCAGCCGCGGUAAUACGUAGGUGGCAAGCGUUGUCCGGAAUUAUUGGGCGUAAAGCGCGCGCAGGCGGCCUUUUAAGUCUGAUGUGAAAGCCCCCGGCUUAACCGGGGAGGGUCAUUGGAAACUGGGAGGCUUGAGUGCAGAAGAGGAAAGUGGAAUUCCAAGUGUAGCGGUGAAAUGCGUAGAGAUUUGGAGGAACACCAGUGGCGAAGGCGACUUUCUGGUCUGUUACUGACGCUGAGGCGCGAAAGCGUGGGGAGCAAAC
This 420-nucleotide ribosomal RNA is filed under the name uncultured bacterium. Its description in RNAcentral is "partial 16S ribosomal RNA". It matches the Rfam family "Bacterial small subunit ribosomal RNA", at positions 361 to 773 of the family's 1533-position model. The record is from RNAcentral.